Trichosurus vulpecula (common brushtail) is the source of this 74-nucleotide non-coding RNA. NCBI's taxonomy places the organism in Eukaryota, Metazoa, Chordata, Mammalia, Diprotodontia, Phalangeridae. The record is from the annotation of a RefSeq genome assembly.
GGCCUCAUAGCUUAGUGGUAUAAAGCGCCUGCCUAGUAAGCAGGAGAUCCUGGGUUCGAAUCCCAGUGGGGCCU